UGAGUAACACGCUAUCCAACCUGCCGAUAACUCGGGGAUANCCUUUCGAAAGAAAGAUUAAUACCCGAUGGUAUAAUCANACCGCAUGGUCUUGUUAUUAAAGAAUUUCGGUUAUCGAUGGGGAUGCGUUCCAUUAGGCAGUUGGUGAGGUAACGGCUCACCAAACCUUCGAUGGAUAGGGGUUCUGAGAGGAAGGUCCCCCACAUUGGAACUGAGACACGGUCCAAACUCNUACGGGAGGCAGCAGUGAGGAAUAUUGGUCAAUGGGCGCAGGCCUGAACCAGCCAAGUAGCGUGAAGGAUGACUGCCCUAUGGGUUGUAAACUUCUUUUAUAUGGGAAUAAAGUUUUCCACGUGUGGAANUUUUGUAUGUACCAUAUGAAUAAGGAUCGGCUAACUCCGUGCCAGCAGCCGCGGUAAUACGGAGGAUCCGAGCGUUAUCCGGAUUUAUUGGGUUUAAAGGGAGCGUAGGUGGACAGUUAAGUCAGUUGUGAAAGUUUGCGGCUCAACCGUAAAAUUGCAGUUGAUACUGGCUGUCUUGAGUACAGUAGAGGUGGGCGGAAUUCGUGGUGUAGCGGUGAAAUGCUUAGAUAUCACGAAGAACUCCGAUUGCGAAGGCAGCUCACUGGACUGCAACUGACACUGAUGCUCGAAAGUGUGGGUAUCAAACAGGAUUAGAUACCCUGGUAGUCCACACAGUAAACGAUGAAUACUCGCUGUUUGCGAUAUACAGUAAGCGGCCAAGCGAAAAGCAUUAAGUAUUCCACCUGGGGAGUACGCCGGCAACGGUGAAACUCAAAGGAAUUGACGGGGGCCCGCACAAGCGGAGGAACAUGUGGGUUUNAAUUCGAUGAUACGCGAGGAACCNUUACCCGGGCUUAAAUUGCAUUUGAAUAUAUUGGAAACAGUAUAGCCGUAAAGGCAAAUGUGAAAGGUGCUGCAUGGUUUGUCCUCACCUCGUGCCGUGAGGUGUCGGCUUAAGUGCCAUAACGAGCGCAACCCUUAUCUUUAGUUACUAACAGGUCAUGCUGAGGACUCUAGAGAGACUGCCGUCGUAAGAUGUGAGGAAGGUGGGGAUGACGUCAAAUCAGCACGGCCCUUACGUCCGGGGCUACACACGUGUUACAAUGGGGGGUACAGAAGGCAGCUACCUGGUGACAGGAUGCUAAUCCCAAAAGCCUCUCUCAGUUCGGAUCGAAGUCUGCAACCCGACUUCGUGAAGCUGGAUUCGCUAGUAAUCGCGCAUCAGCCAUGGCGCGGUGAAUACGUUCCCGGGCCUUGUACACACCGCCCGUCAAGCCAUGAAAGCCGGGGGUACCUGAAGUACGAACCGCAGGAGCUCCUAGG
This 1346-nucleotide ribosomal RNA is filed under the name bacterium NLAE-zl-G502. RNAcentral describes it as "16S ribosomal RNA". It matches the Rfam family "Bacterial small subunit ribosomal RNA", at positions 107 to 1450 of the family's 1533-position model. The record is from RNAcentral.